AUUGAACGCUGGCGGCAGGCCUAACACAUGCAAGUCGAGCGAGCGGCGGACGGGUGAGUAAUGUCUGGGAAACUGCCUGAUGGCGGGGGCUAACUACUGGAAACGGUAGCUAAUACCGCAUACCCACAGAUGUGCCCAGAUGGGAUUAGCUAGUAGGUGGGGUAACGGCUCACCUAGUCGACGAUCCCUAGCUGGUCUGAGAGGAUGACCAGCCACACUGGAACUGAGACACGGUCCAGACGCCUACGGGAGGCAGCAGUGGGGAAUAUUGCACAAUGGGCUAAAGCCUGAUGCAGCCAUGCCGCGUGUGUGAAGAAGGCCUUCGGGUUGUAAAGCACUUUCAGCGGGGAGGCGUUACCCGCACAAGAAGCACCGGCUAACUCCGUGCCAGCCGCCGCGGUAAUUC
Molecule: ribosomal RNA, 406 nt
Filed under: uncultured bacterium
Lineage: Bacteria
Description: partial 16S ribosomal RNA
Rfam family: Bacterial small subunit ribosomal RNA
Source: RNAcentral